RNAcentral lists this ribosomal RNA (1262 nucleotides) under metagenome. RNAcentral describes it as "bacterial LSU rRNA". It matches the Rfam family "Bacterial large subunit ribosomal RNA", at positions 1635 to 2890 of the family's 2925-position model. The record is from RNAcentral.
UACACGACCGUACCGCAAACCGACACUGGUGCGCGAGAUGAGUAUUCUAAGGCGCUUGAGAGAACUCAGGAGAAGGAACUCGGCAAAUUGACACCGUAACUUCGGAAGAAGGUGUGCCUUUAGUAGGUGAACCAUUUACUUGGGGAGCCCAAUGAGGCUGCAAAAAAUCGGUGGCUGCAACUGUUUAUUAAAAACACAGCACUCUGCUAAGACGAAAGUCGACGUAUAGGGUGUGACGCCUGCCCGGUGCUGGAAGAUUAAAUGAUGGGGUGCAAGCUCUUGAUUGAAGUCCCAGUAAACGGCGGCCGUAACAAUAACGGUCCUAAGGUAGCGAAAUUCCUUGUCGGGUAAGUUCCGACCUGCACGAAUGGCGUAAUGAUGGCCACACUGUCUCCUCCUGAGACUCAGCGAAGUUGAAAUGUUUGUGAUGAUGCAAUCUCCCCGCGGAAAGACGGAAAGACCCCAUGAACCUUUACUGUAGCUUUGUAUUGGACUUUGAACAGAUCUGUGUAGGAUAGGUGGGAGGCUUUGAAGUGUGGUCGCUAGAUCGCAUGGAGCCAACGUUGAAAUACCACCCUGGUGUGUUUGAGGUUCUAACCUAGGUCCAUUAUCUGGAUCGGGGACAGUGCAUGGUAGGCAGUUUGACAGGGGCGGUCUCCUCCCAAAGUGUAACGGAGGAGUUCGAAGGUACGCUAGGUACGGUCGGACAUCGUGCUAAUAGUGCAAUGGCAUAAGCGUGCUUAACUGCGAGACUGACAAGUCGAGCAGAUGCGAAAGCAGGACAUAGUGAUCCGGUGGUUCUGUAUGGAAGGGCCAUCGCUCAACGGAUAAAAGGUACUCUGGGGAUAACAGGCUGAUACCGCCCAAGAGUUCAUAUCGACGGCGGUGUUUGGCACCUCGAUGUCGGCUCAUCUCAUCCUGGGGCUGUAGCCGGUCCCAAGGGUAUGGCUGUUCGCCAUUUAAAGAGGUACGUGAGCUGGGUUUAAAACGUCGUGAGACAGUUUGGUCCCUAUCUUCCGUGGGCGCUGCAGAUUUGAGGAAGCCUGCUCCUAGUACGAGAGGACCGGAGUGGACGAACCUCUGGUGUAUCGGUUGUCACGCCAGUGGCAUUGCCGAGUAGCUAAGUUCGGAAGAGAUAACCGCUGAAAGCAUCUAAGCGGGAAACUCGUUUCAAGAUUAGAUCUGCCGGGGCCUUGAGCCCCCUAAAGAGUCGUUCAAGACCAGGACGUUGAUAGGUCAGGUGUGGAAGCGAAAAAAAAAAG